RNAcentral lists this ribosomal RNA (500 nucleotides) under uncultured bacterium. Its description in RNAcentral is "partial 16S ribosomal RNA". It matches the Rfam family "Bacterial small subunit ribosomal RNA", at positions 30 to 523 of the family's 1533-position model. The record is from RNAcentral.
AUUGAACGCUGGCGGAAUGCUUUACACAUGCAAGUCGAACGGCAGCACGGGGGCAACCCUGGUGGCGAGUGGCGAACGGGUGAGUAAUACAUCGGAACGUGCCCAGUCGUGGGGGAUAACGUAGCGAAAGUUACGCUAAUACCGCAUACGAUCUACGGAUGAAAGCGGGGGACCGUAAGGCCUCGCGCGAUUGGAGCGGCCGAUGUCAGAUUAGGUAGUUGGUGAGGUAAAGGCUCACCAAGCCGACGAUCUGUAGCUGGUCUGAGAGGACGACCAGCCACACUGGGACUGAGACACGGCCCAGACUCCUACAGGAGGCAGCAGUGGGGAAUUUUGGACAAUGGGCGCAAGCCUGAUCCAGCCAUUCCGCGUGCAGGACGAAGGCCUUCGGGUCGUAAACUGCUUUUGUACGGAACGAAAAGGCUCUGGUUAAUACCUGGGGCUCAUGACGGUACCGUAAGAAUAAGCACCGGCUAACUACGUGCCAGCCGCCGCGGUAA